GCUACCACUUCUAAGGAAGGCAGCAGGCACGCAAAUUACCCAAUGGUCGACGACCGAGGUAGUGACGAAAAAUAACGAUGCCGGUCUCAUUUGAGGCCCGGUAAUUGGAAUGAGUACACUUUAAAUCCUUUAACGAGGAACAAUUGGAGGGCAAGUCUGGUGCCAGCAGCCGCGGUAAUUCCAGCUCCAAUAGCGUAUAUUAAAGUUGUUGCGGUUAAAAAGCUCGUAAGUUGGAUCUCAACGAGCAGGAGGGUGGCUCAACGUUUUGUUGUUGCUGGCCUUCAUUCGCUCGUGUUUUUGACGGAGGCUCCAGGGUUGCCCUUAACUGUGAGUGUCUGGUGCGCCGUCAGGUUUACUUUGAAAAAAAUUAGAGUGCUCAAAGCAGGCCUUUACACGCUUGAAUAUUCGUGCAUGGAAUAAUGGAAUAGGAAGUCAUUUCUAUUUUGUUGGUUUUCGGAAUUUGACUUAAUGAUUAAUAGGGACAGCCCGGGGGGCAUUAGUAUUCAGACGACAGAGGUGAAAUUCUUGGACCGUCUGAAGACUAACUACUGCGAAAGCAUUUGCCAAGAGUGUUUUCAUUAAUCAAGAACGAAAGUUAGAGGUUCGAAGGCGAUCAGAUACCGCCCUAGUUCUAACCAUAAACGAUGCCAGCUAGCGAUCCGCAGUUGUUACUUUAAGGCUCUGCGGGAAGCUUCCGGGAAACCAAAGCUUUUGGGUUCCGGGGGAAGUAUGGUUGCAAAGCUGAAACUUAAAGGAAUUGACGGAAGGGCACCACCAGGAGUGGAGCCUGCGGCUUAAUUUGACUCAACACGGGAAAUCUCACCAGGCCCGGACACUGGAAGGAUUGACAGAUUGAGAGCUCUUUCUCGAUUCAGUGGGUGGUGGUGCAUGGCCGUUCUUAGUUGGUGGAGUGAUUUGUCUGGUUAAUUCCGAUAACGAACGAGACUCUGUCCUGCUAAAUAGUUGCGACGCCCUUGGUGCGUCGCAAUCUCUUCUUAGAGGGACUGGCGGCUUUUAGCCGCACGAGAUUGAGCAAUAACAGGUCUGUGAUGCCCUUAGAUGUUCUGGGCUGCACACGCGCUACACUUGAAGGGAUCAGCGUGUUUUCCCUUCCUGAGAGGGACGGGUAAACCGCUGAAACCCCUUCGUGGUAGGGAUCGGAGCUUGCAAUUAUUCUCCGUGAACCAGGAAUUCCCAGUAAGCGCAAGUCAUAAGCUUGCGUUGAUUACGUCCCUGCCCUUUGUACACACCGCCCGUCGCUACUACCGAUUGAACGUUUUAGUGAGGUAUUUGGACUGGGCCUCUGUCGGCUCCGG
This 1316-nucleotide ribosomal RNA is filed under the name Therodamas longicollum. RNAcentral's name for it is "SSU rRNA". It matches the Rfam family "Eukaryotic small subunit ribosomal RNA", at positions 406 to 1734 of the family's 1831-position model. Lineage: Eukaryota; Metazoa; Arthropoda; Copepoda; Poecilostomatoida; Ergasilidae. The record is from RNAcentral.